Long non-coding RNA from Ixodes scapularis (black-legged tick), 281 nucleotides. RefSeq lists it as uncharacterized. The transcript is spliced from 3 exons. The record is from RefSeq and is a predicted model, not a curated record. Lineage: Eukaryota; Metazoa; Arthropoda; Arachnida; Ixodida; Ixodidae.
CUCUCGUCCGACCAGGGUGGACGAGGCAAGUGGCUCAGCGAGUCGCCGCUGGGCUCGGGCUUCAAGAGUCAGGGGUUUCCUGAUGACCACCUAAGCUCGGACGACACUGCUGAAGGUUUCCAUGGUCAAGGAGGAUCCCCUCCAUUGUGGUCACAUGGCAAUGGCGACUGCUCUCAUACGAGCAACAGCAGCGACCCACUGACUGGGAGCGGAUACGAGUCCCGCCGGUCCUGGGGCUUCUGCCAAGACCUCCGUUCUGCGGGGUACGACCUGAACGGCAC